This 363-nucleotide unclassified non-coding RNA is filed under the name uncultured bacterium. RNAcentral's name for it is "contains 16S-23S intergenic spacer region". The record is from RNAcentral.
UCCCCGUUGCCGGGGCAGUCUGAAUAGAAAAAUACAACUAUUCACAAGGGUUGCGCUCGUUAAUGGACUUAACCAAACAUCUCACGACACGAGCUGACGACGGCCAUGCAUCAUCUGUCACUUGGUUCAAUAAAGCACUCACUCCUUUCGGAGUAAUUCCAAGGAUGUCAAACCCUGGUAAGGUUCAUCGGUUAUCAUCGAAUUAAAGAACAUGAUCCGCUACUUGUGCGGGUCCCCGUCAAUUCCUUUAUGUUUUAGUCUUGCGACCGUACUCCACAGGCGGGAUACUUAACGCGUUAGCUUCGCUACUGAAGGGGUCGAUACCUCCAACAGCUAGUAUCCAUCGUUUACGGCGUGGACUAC